Dreissena polymorpha is the source of this 804-nucleotide long non-coding RNA. RefSeq lists it as uncharacterized. The record is from RefSeq and is a predicted model, not a curated record. The transcript has 3 exons. Lineage: Eukaryota; Metazoa; Mollusca; Bivalvia; Myida; Dreissenidae.
AUGCUUACAAAAACUGACUUUAACAGCAGAAAAGCUUUGUAAACGGCGUAGUAUUCGAACUCGGUCUUGCCACCGAAACUUAUGUGUGACGGUGUUGUGGAAUUGGUCUUGAUGCGUCUGUUACUUGCCCAAAGUCAAGAGCUACUUCGAAUUCAAUGAGCUCCGAACGAAAUAAAUAAACUCUGUAUGAGAAAUUCGUAAAGACCAAAGUAUCGCAAUGAUCCAGUUGCAUUACGAACAGGCACUUAGUACAGUACAAUGCCUAGCAAUGGCAACUGUAUAUUGCAUAAGCGCUUGGCAUUCAAAAUACCAAUUAUAUUGAAAGCUAUCUGUGUUCCCUUAUUUAUAUAACCACUUUAUAUUUAGGAUAAGAGCAGAAAUAUUUUGAAUCAAUUAACGAUAAAAGUCGAGGUUCGAUUGUAAAGAAAAAAUAUGUGUUAUUCGCUUAUUCACAAUUUCUCCUGACAAACGGUACCAUACACAAUGUAAAACUUUCCCUUUCUUUGAUUUCAUACAAAUUUCACAAAACAUGGGAAAUUGAUUGCUUACUUAAACUGUCAAUAAUGACGACAUUUACAGGAACCACCCUUUGGUAAAGCUCGUAGGUAACGAAAAGCUGAAAUCAGCUUUCAAGAAGAACAAAAGACUAGUUUCAUCGUAUACAGAAUCCGUCCUCGUCAAGGAAGCGUGUUCAGUGAUCAUGCACGAGGCGACUGGAUGUAGUUAUAAAGACGCCACAGAGGCUCUGCAACGAACGGUGGCCAAAAGUUUUUUCACAGCAUAUAGCCUGGCAAUAACUCACCG